GGGGAAUAUUGGUCAAUGGACGCAAGUCUGAACCAGCCAUGCCGCGUGCAGGAUGACGGCUCUAUGAGUUGUAAACUGCUUUUGUACGAGGGUAAACCCCGAUACGUGUAUCGGGCUGAAAGUAUCGUACGAAUAAGGAUCGGCUAACUCC
This 151-nucleotide ribosomal RNA is filed under the name uncultured bacterium. RNAcentral's name for it is "partial 16S ribosomal RNA". It matches the Rfam family "Bacterial small subunit ribosomal RNA", at positions 356 to 504 of the family's 1533-position model. The record is from RNAcentral.